AAAAUGCUUUGAAAAUGUUUUAUUUCUUUUUAAAACCAAGUUAUUCACCCAUUUGAGCUUUGAAUAUUUUAAAAAAUAGCGUUUAUCUAUAAAUGGGGUUUAUUGCAUAAAUAAGCUAUCCCAUAUUUUUUGGAUAUUUAUUGGAGUUGAAAAACUUUUUCAUAGUUAAGUAGCCCUAAAGGCAUUUAUAGGGCAAAUGUAUUUAUAUAUAUUUUUUAUUUUGAGGGGAAAUUGCUCCCAAAAGUUGAAUCAUGCUAUAACAUGAUUUUACAAAUUUUCUGAAAUUUAUUUGGACCAAUUUGGAGUUUAAAAUCAAAAUUUACAAAGGAAAAACAUAAAAGGAAAACGAAAAGGAAAAAAAAGAGAAAACCGGACCGGCCCGGCCAAAUGGGCCGAACCGGCCUAGUACGUCACGCGCCCGAGCCCGACCGGCCCAGAGCCAGCGCGCGUGCGCGCCCGAGGCUGACAGGCGGGGCCCGCCUGUCAGAUCCAUCGUCUCUGAUGGGAAGGCACGCGCGAAUCACGCCGCACGUCCGCCCCGC
This 542-nucleotide long non-coding RNA is filed under the name Brachypodium distachyon (stiff brome). RNAcentral's name for it is "long non-coding RNA (BDIS_LNC003402)". Lineage: Eukaryota; Viridiplantae; Streptophyta; Magnoliopsida; Poales; Poaceae. The record is from RNAcentral.